GGAAAGGUGAUAUAAGAAGCUUUCAUGAUGCUUCGGAUUUUGUUUAUUAUUUUAAAAGAGAUACAAGUUAAGGAUUGGAAUUCCUGGGUGUUGCUCACUUUUUGUUGUUGAAUUACUUUUGGCUAUUUGACGGAACUCCUUUGAAAGUGAUUCCACAUAGCACAGGGUAGCCAAGAAAAGAGUCACAUAUGCAAUUUUAAAUUUUCUAGCAGCCAUUUUUUUAAAGUAAAAAAGAAACAGGUAGCAUUAAUUUAUUUAAAUAUCUUUUAUUUAACAUAACAGAUCCAAAAUGUUAUUUCAAUAUAUCAUCACGACUUUUAAAAGGUAUCAAUGAAUAUUUUACAUUCUCGUUUUCAUAGUAAGCCUUUGAAAUCCAGGAUCAAUUUCAUGCUCACAGCACAUCUCAAUUUGGACUCCACAUUUCAACUGCUGUAUAAAAGCCACGUAUGGCUAGUGGCUGUUAUAUUGAUCAGCAUCAUCACAGAUACAGGGGCUGGGCUAUGUAGUUCUGGGAUUCUGAAGGUGAAAUAAUAAUAAUAGCCAUAAUAAUAACAACAGGCAUUUAUUGAGCCUCUUAGAUAUGCCAAAUGUUAUAUUAAUUCCCUUUCUCAUGCAUCAUUUCAUUUAAUCCUCUUAACAACCUACAUUUUGGGCACUAUUAUCAUCCCAUUCUACAGAUGCAGAAACAGAGCCUCAGAGAGGGUGAGUGCUUUGCCCAAGGUCACACAGCUGGUAAGCAGCAAAGCUAGGACUAGAAAACCAGUCUGUCUGUCACUAACCACUGCCUCAAUAACUUAGGGUCAGUAAAGGAGCCAGCCAGCAGCCAGACUUUCCUCAGUCCCUUCCUCAGAGCCCAUGCACAAGGAGUCACUUUGUUUUCUGAUUAGCCAAGCUGCCAUGUUGCCUAAAAACCAGACUGGAAAGAACAUUCAUUGUACAGCUGAGCAUAUUGUGUGAUUGAGUGAGAAAAGAACAGCAACAAGAUGCUCUGCCUCUCGUCAACUGUAGGAAGCUGCAAAUUCAAGGCCAGUGACCAGGUUCACAAAAUGCAAUUGUUCUCAAUGACACUUAACAAAGAGCCAGGGAGAGAAUCGAUUGUCAUUAAAAGCUGGCCAAGAACAUCGAUCGUCUCCCCAGUGAUGAUCUCAGAAUUUUGACUUAGCCAGGCCAAGAGCGUUGGUGCAGAGACGUUUUGAUGUGAUUUCUCAUGUGGAAAUGGGCUCCAGCAUGGCGAGUCAGCACAAAACAAGCAUGAAGCUAAGGACGGAGCAGCCAGAGCUCUGCCCAUGCCUCUCCUGCUCCACCUCCAUGCCCUGUAGACAGAAAGCAAAGGAGGAGGACUGGCUGGACUGGGAGAUAGUAGAUCCUGUGGGUCCUGUCCCUUCCUCUCUGUUCCUCUUUAUCCAGAUACUUUAGAAGCCUUUGGAACUGUGACAUUUCUGGGCCUCACAUUCAGGGGAAGGAGGAUGAUUCCUUCAGCCUGCUGGCCAUAGAGAACCUGGCCAUGGAUAUGGCCUAGAUAAAACAAGCCAAACCAUCUCCUAUUUAUCCCUGAGACCCCAAGAUGGGCAGUGAGCAAGGCCUCAUGCCCCUAGAGCUCUCCUAGGUGGGAGGGAAUAUCUUGCUGUCAAAUGCUCCUGAAUACAAUUCCAACUCCUGCUCUGUCCUGCAUCUUGCUGUGGUUGGGGAAGAGGGUGCAAUGCUCUCAUUUAUAGUAUGCAGGCUAGGAUCUGAGCAGUAAGUCUUGUUCAUCCAUCUGUCUAUCCAAAAAAUGCUAGCUGAGUGACUGCUGCAGCCAGAUGCUAAGGCAGGUCCUGGGAAUAAACAGAUGUACAGGGCAAAAAGCUUGCCCUUUAGGAGAACAUGACAGACACUGGGAAAUCAAUAGCCACAGAGAAACAUAGCAAGUGCUAGAAUGAAAGCAUGUUAACCACAAGGUACCUUGGUAGCAGGGAGUGGAGAAGUUGAACACAGAGGGAAGACAUGAAGACAUUCCAGAAAGGCAGAGAGGGUGGUCCAUGCGAAGCAACAGAAGGCACUAGGAACAUCCUGGGAACUGCAACUUACCAAGCAGCUGAGGCUCAGAGUGGGCCUGGGAGGGGAUGGGAGAUCAGACUGGAGGGCUGGCUGGGAGCUUAGCCAGAGCACAGGGCACAGCAUAGGACUUUAGGCAGGGGCACAGUGUCAGAUGGGUGAUUGGACGGUCAUCCUGGCUGCAGUGGGUUGUGGGGGAAUGGAUAAAAGAGGGGCAGGACCAGCGUGCUAGCCUGGGGGUUCCUGGUGCCCUCAGUUUCCUUCCUUGGCCUUCCUCUGCUCAGCUAGGCUUAGCUCUGCAUGAGUAUGAGUCCAUUCUCACACUGCUAUAAAGAAAUACCUAAGACUGGGUAAUUUAUAAAGAAAAGAUGUUUAAUUGGCUCAUGGUUCCUCAGGCUGUACAGGGAGCAUGAGGCUGGCAUCUACUGGGCUUCUGGGGAGGCCUCAGGAAACUUACAGCCAUGGUGGAAGGCAAAGGGGGAGCAGGCACUUCACAUGGCUGGAGCAAGAGGAAGAGAGAGAGAGGGGAGGUGCCAAACACUUUUAAACAACCAGAUCUCAUGAGAACUCACUAUUGUGAUGCCUUACUUUUAAUGGCAAAAACCACAAUUACUUUUGCACCAACCUAUACUUGGUGUGAUGGUUAAUUUCCCGUGCAACUUGACUGGGCUAAGAGAUGCCCAGAUAGCUGGUAAAACACUAUUUCUGUGAGACCAUAGCUGGGUGAGAUUAGCAUUUGAAUCAGUAAAUUGAGUAAAGAAGAUCCACACUCACCAAUGUAGGCAGGCGUCAUCCAAUCUGAUGAGAGCAUGAACAGAACAAAAAGGAAGUGCAAAUUUUCCAUCUCUGUUCUUGAGUUGGGACAUCUGUCUUCUCCUGGUUCUCAGGCUUUCAGACUCAGACUGAAUUACACCACCGGCUUUCCUGGGUCUCUGGCUUGCAGACAGCAUAUUAUGGGACUUCUAGGCUUCCAUAAUCGUGUAGGCCAAGUAUCAUAAUAAAUCUCUGCUUGUGUAUCUAGACCUCUAUCUAUCUAUCUAUCUAUCUAUCUAUCUAUCUAUCUAUCUAUCAUCUAUCUAUCUGUCUAUCAUCUAUCUAUUAUUGGUUCUGUUUCUCUGGAGAUCACUGAUAAUAUACUUAGAGUGUCUCCAUUUCCCUGGUGGGGCCUGACUUGUACAAAUGGAGAAAGGGGAAGCAAUUAAUGCAAGUUUUCUAACUGCAAAAAUCCAACAGAGCAAUGAUAUAGGUUUGCACAGAGGUUACUAUCGCAGUGAGGAUGGAACUUGGAGAUGCUUAAGAGGUGGAAUUGAUAGGGUUUGAUGGCAAAAUGUGGGGAGAAAGGGCUAAUUUUUUUGAAAUUUUUGUAGUUAAAGGGUUUUGUCAUAUUGCCCAGGCUGGAGCAAGUUUCUUGUGGAAAAGAGACAGAGAUAUACCGCUUGCUGGCUCUGAAUGAAAGAAAAAUUUGGUGAAAUGGACGUAUCAUUGCCAACUAUCUGUUUAGCUAACUGAGGAUAUGAAAAACAAACACACACCUUAAAUUUAGAACACCUUAAGUAUCCAAGUGGCAGGCACCGUACUGGGGUUCAGCAUAAAAUACCAUCUGAUGCCUGCCCCUAAGCAGAUCACCUCCAUCAGGGGAGCCAACAGGUGGAUUUAAAAUCCUAACAGCCUGUGAUGACAGCCACCAAUAGAGACAGGACUUUGGUGGUCUGGAACUUGGUGAGAGAACGAUAUGACUUGGGCCUUGAAGGACUGACAGAGACUUUUCAGGAGGAGAGAGGUAGGGAGUGCAUAGAGCAUCCCAGGAAGGGGAAAAAAUGUGAAGAGGCCCCGAGCCACAAAAGGCUGAAGAGUUUGGUGACUGGAGUCAUUGAGGAUGCCCGCAGUUCAGGUGGGUCUGAGAAAUGACAGAAUCAGAGGUGAUUUGGAAAGAGAAGUCUCAUGGUCCUGCAGAGGAAUGUGUGGUCAGUGGAGACCAGCACCUGUGGUCAUCAUCUGGGCAAGAGGAAAUGGGACUUGACCAGGAUGGCGGCCAGAGGAGUGGAGGACAAAGGAUGAUCAAAGCUAACAGGUGAGAAGAGGGGAGACUGGCAGGAGAAGAAGACAAAGGCUGGAUUCAUCUUUGCAACCAACAUGCUUAUGUCUAGAAAAGACCAACAACUACUAAAAAGUUUGGGGAAGGAUAUACCAGCUGCCAGUGAGAUGCCCAUUAAUCAACACAGCUGGAUUUUUGGACACGAUCAUGCUUGAAGACCUUACCUUAGCAUAGAGUGCAACUUCAUUUCCUUUCUUAUAAAGGAAGACUACAGACUUAUACAUGGAGAAUGAGGAGGUACUUGACAAACUUUUGACUGGAUGGAGACAUGUACAUUGCAUCUUCAGAAAGCCUGGUGCCUGCAUAACUAGUUGAAUGAUGAAUGACUGACAAUGAAAGGUGCUGACUGAGAAGAAAGUUGACCUACAAGGAGGGCUCUAGACCCAUGCCACAUGGCUCCAGCUUUGUCCUUAUACAAAAGACAUUUUCAAAUUUGUGAUUAAAUGAUACCUGGAAGGAAAGCAAAUGUUUUUGAUGACAAAAUCUGAAUCCUCAUACCCCCAGCCCACUGCCAAUCUGAACUGGCUUAAGACAGUGGACCAAAUCCAAGGAGAUUUGACAGAGAUAAUGUAGUCCCUCGCCGUGACUCAAAAUGGGUAUCUGGAGAAGAACAUCAAUAGACAGGACUUACUUGUUUUAGCUAAUAGCAACUUCAAUGUGAAUCAGUGGUUUGGUUAUAUUAAUGGAAAUAGAGGAUCUAGAAUGAGGUGGGGAGAGUUUCUCAUCAUUGAACUGUACCUGGAAUUCUGUUGUCAGUUCUCAGUUCUGAUCACAAAUGGGAACAUGUUCAGAAGAAAGCAAAUAGGAGGCAGAAGUUGGAAUGUUUAUUCUGAAAAAGACUUAGAAAUUAUUGUUGUUUUCAACAAUAUUAUUGUUGCCAUGUGCAAGAUGAUUUAAGUUUACAUGUUUGUGGCCUUUUAGGAUAGUCUAAGCACCUUCAGGUAAGUCUUAGGGAGCAGGAUUUUGUCUUAAUAUAGGAACAAUUAGAAGUGUCUGAAUACGGUAAAAACCUCUGGAGGCAGGUGAUGUUUGGGCAUCUUGACACCAUUUAAUGGUGAACUGGGGACAUUGUAGCAAGGAGUCUAUAAAUAUGAAUUCUCUCUUUUAAACUCUUAGAGAGUCACUUACAGAUGAUUCCACCAAGAUAAAUAAUAAACAGUCAGCAAACAUAUGAAAAGUAAUGUAACUUUGCUAGAAAUUAAAUUUAAAUUAAAAUGGCAACAAAGUACUAUUUUUGUCUGUUAGCAAAAAUUAAAGAGUAAAAUCAUAUCCAAUACUGGUGAGAGUGUCAUGAAACUGGGGUUUGCAUUCAUUGCUGUUGGCAUUGGUGCCUCUUAGAAAGUCUGCGUAUAAAUAGCUACCUCAUUGAUAACACUUUUGUUUCAAUAGUCCAAUAGGCAAUCUAACUGAAAGACAAGUGGAAAGAAUGUAAAUUGCCACAUACCUGAAGAUGUUCAUUGCAGUAUUACUUAUAAUGGAGAAAUUGAAAGCAAUAUAAACAUUGAAGAGUAAGGUAACAGUUGAAGAUGGCAGGACACCCAUUCAACAGGAUGUUAUGUAUUACUUCAAAAGAUAAUCAUUUUUCACUAUAGCUAUAUGGAAAAUGCAUAGGAUAUGGUAAGUGUGUACGUGUGGUGAAUUGCCAGCUAUGAAAUCCUACAGAUCUGAUGAUUAUAAUUACAUACCAAAUAAAUGGAUACAAUAGAAAAGACAGAAAAUUUCUUCUCUUUAAGUCCAGCUCCACGACUAGCUAGGCGUGUUAUCCUGGGCAAAAAUUUUCCUGUGUCUCAGCUGCCUGGUCCAUAAAAUGGGGAGUUUGGACCAAUGGUCUCUAAUAUUCCUUCCUGUUUUAUAAUGUGAAUAGACUGGACUCAUUUAAUGAAGAAACCGUAUCCUGGGGGGAGCUAGAAAUCAGCCACUAUCUUGGUUUCAGACUUUCCCCACCAGACAUAAUAUGUACUUCGUCCAUAUUAUAUCUUUUUAGAAGUCAGUUUGAAAUGUGUACCAGGUGAGAAAAAGUAGAAUUCCUGACUCUCUCAAGUAAGCUGCCGUAUUUGAAGGAGAUUUAGCCAUAGAUACUCCAAAUUACUUUAUUAUGGAGUAACAUAAAACGAUUCUCACAAAAGUUACUGAGUCCAAAAAUGCCCAAGAAUGAUUUCAAAUUACGGUAUGACUGCUAUGAGCAUUAUUUAGACACACUGCUCUAGAAAGGUCUGUUCACACAAAACAAAGGAGCAAUUUUUUAAAAGACUUGAGUACAAGGGAAUAAACAUAUUAUUUAAUAUUAUUAAAUGCUUAUUCCCUUGUACUUGAGUCUUUUAAAAAAUUGUCCACACCCAGCCCACAAACCCUGGUUUUGUAUUCCUAUCAAUGAAAAAAAAAAGGUCAAAAUACACUUCUGCUGGCAUAUGUAGGGCCAUUUGGUUUGGUGAUCUGGAAUUAGGGUAACCAGAACAUGAGCUUUUAGCUCAUAAAAACCUCCUAGUCAUAUCAGACUCCCGAAAAUGCCCUCAUCUGUUCAUAACUUUCUAGAAGGAUGGUGACUUCUUGGUUCAUACUUUCAUCAGGCAGUGCAGUCAAAAGGUAAGGAGAAAACUGUUUAGGGUCUGCAGUGCCCCUCACUGGCACCCAUCCAGACUCAGCUUCAAACCCAGAAGAGCCUUCAUGGUCCCUGACACCAUGGGGAGAAGUUCCCUUCUCUAAGAACCCAUAGGAAUUUGAAGACAGUGUUACCUGAUCAGAAUUUUGCAGGUGUGAUCAUUUAGACAGGGCUCCCUCAGGCAUGCUGAUCAUCCACGUGGGGUCUCUCCUCCAGUCUCGAGAGUCACUUAUUGAAAAUGGUUGUUGUAGGUGCUGUUUUAAGGUGGCCCCACCUUAUAUUUGGCCUCAAGCACUACCCAAUUUAGAUGAUUACUUGAUUCAUCAGAUUCAGCUCCCAAUGACUUUAGCUCUUCCUCCCAAUCAAGUCUCCUCAAAUAUUGAUUUGUACCCUGGAGGACACAUCACAGCUUUGAAAGUGAUUCAACAGUGGGAUCAGAUAUGGCAGCAAUAAGGGCCAAACCCACAGGAUCCAGAGGUGACCACCUUGAGAUGGGUAACGGGGAGGAAUUUAUCCCCGUAAGCUUACCAGGACAGAUGGGCCUAUGACCUCAGAAUGAUACCAUAACUGCAGGAGGACAGGAGACGCAGCCCAAGCAUCUUGGAGAACAAAGACACCAGUGGAUGUGGGGGCCCAGCAGAAGGGUAGUGUCCAAGGCCAACUCUACACUACGGUUACUGUUGGUGGCAAGACCUGCAGACAGGACAUGCUGAAAACAAAACCAUCACAAAAGGAACCAGAGAGAUGCACGAGAACAUCCUCUUUCUACUCCUCCAGCACGGUGAGUGGUGCCCUGUGAUCCCUUCCUUGUUCCCACUCCCCUCUCUCCCAUCAGCUCCUUGUUGGCUCCUGGGGGAUGUGUGUGCGAGGGUCUGGGGUGGGCACUUGAGUGAUGACGUAAUAAACCCUGGCAGAUGAAGGUCUUAGGGCUAGGAAUGUCAUUACAAGAAACCCUCAGGAUCUGGGAUAGGCUGGCAGGCUCCAGUACUAAAGUACAAUUGCAGUUUAUUGUUUGACAACUUCCAAAUGAAAGGGAAGCUCUGUCUAAACCACAAGUCUUAAGGCUCAUGAUGGGAGGCUGGCCAGCCACCAGCUACACCAAAGCUGGAAUUCUCUUGAGAUCCCGGGUAAGCCCAGCUUCCGAAUGUGCAUUUGUGUUUGCAGAGCAGUGUGUGAUGCCCACCCAAGCCUACGCACGUGUGAGGAUGGGCACAAUAAAUGCAGCUGAGAACCCCGAAACCAGACUGCAAAAACUGCACACACGCCUGACCGCAGGUAAGGAACAGAAAUGACGUUGUGGACCAGCAUCUGCACAGGGAGGCGCAGCACACAUAACACUACGUGGUGUUUUUCUUCAAUUGAU
This 8091-nucleotide long non-coding RNA is filed under the name Homo sapiens (human). RNAcentral describes it as "HSALNT0214521". Lineage: Eukaryota; Metazoa; Chordata; Mammalia; Primates; Hominidae. The record is from RNAcentral.